AACGGUCUAUACCUGCGGUACCUGCGGAGGGAUCAUUACUGAGUGAGGGCCCUCUGGGUCCAACCUCCCACCCGUGUUUAUUGUACCUUGUUGCUUCGGCAGGCCCGCCUCACGGCCGCCGGGGGGCUUUCCGCCCCCGGGCCCGCGCCUGCCGGAGACAAUCUUGAACGCUGUCUGAAGAAUGCAGUCUGAGCGAUUAAGCAAAAUUAGUUAAAACUUUCAGCAAUGGAUCUCUAGAUC
RNAcentral lists this unclassified non-coding RNA (240 nucleotides) under soil metagenome. RNAcentral's name for it is "partial contains 5.8S ribosomal RNA, internal transcribed spacer 2, and large subunit ribosomal RNA". The record is from RNAcentral.